UUGGCGGGGGCACGGGGGGCGUAGGGGAGGCAGCAGUGGGGAAUGUUAGACAAUGGAAGCAAGCAUGAUCCAGCCAUACCGCGUGGGUGAAGAGGGCAAUGGCGUUUUAAAGCCAAAUGUUGAAAGCACCGCCGGCGGGUGUGGGAGGGAAGACCAGG
Molecule: ribosomal RNA, 158 nt
Filed under: uncultured Stenotrophomonas sp.
Lineage: Bacteria; Pseudomonadati; Pseudomonadota; Gammaproteobacteria; Lysobacterales; Lysobacteraceae
Description: partial 16S ribosomal RNA
Source: RNAcentral